Molecule: ribosomal RNA, 466 nt
Filed under: uncultured bacterium
Lineage: Bacteria
Description: partial 16S ribosomal RNA
Rfam family: Bacterial small subunit ribosomal RNA
Source: RNAcentral
GACGAACGCUGGCGGUGUGCUUAACACAUGCAAGUCGAACGGUAAGGCCCUUUCGGGGGUACACGAGUGGCGAACGGGUGAGUAACACGUGAGUAACCUGCCCUCAUCUCUGGGAUAACAGUCGGAAACGGUUGCUAAUACUGGAUAUGAGCUUGCAAGGCAUCUUGUGGGUUGGAAAGAUUUUUUUGGUUGGGGAUGGACUCGCGGCCUAUCAGCUUGUUGGUGAGGUAGUGGCUCACCAAGGCUUCGACGGGUAGCCGGCCUGAGAGGGCGACCGGCCACAUUGGGACUGGGAUACGGCCCAAGCUCCUACGGGAGGCAGCAGUGGGGAAUAUUGCACAAUGGACGGAAGUCUGAUGCAGCAACGCCGCGGGCGGGAUGACGGCCUUCGGGUUGGAAACCGCUUUCAAUUGUGACGAAGCUUUUUGUGACGGUAGCAGUAGAAGAAGCACCGGCUAACUACGUG